AGAGUUUGAUCCUGGCUCAGGACGGCCUCUGGCGGCGUGCUUAACACAUGCAAGUCGAACGGUGACGGAGGAGCUUGCUCCUCCUGAUCAGUGGCGAACGGGUGAGUAACACGUGAGUAACCUGCCCCAGACUCUGGAAUAACAGUUGGAAACAGCUGCUAAUACCGGAUACGAGACGGAGUCGCAUGACUACCGUCUGGAAAGUUUUUCGGUCUGGGAUGGACUCGCGGCCUAUCAGCUAGUUGGUGAGGUAAUGGCUCACCAAGGCGACGACGGGUAGCCGGCCUGAGAGGGCGACCGGCCACACUGGGACUGAGACACGGCCCAGACUCCUACGGGAGGCAGCAGUGGGGAAUAUUGCACAAUGGGCGAAAGCCUGAUGCAGCAACGCCGCGUGAGGGAUGACGGCCUUCGGGUUGUAAACCUCUUUCAGUAGGGAAGAAGCGAAAGUGACGGUACCUACAGAAGAAGCACCGGCUAACUACGUGCCAGCAGCCGCGGUAAUACGUAGGGUGCGAGCGUUGUCCGGAAUUAUUGGGCGUAAAGAGCUUGUAGGCGGUUUGUCGCGUCUGCUGUGAAAAUCCGGGGCUCAACCCCGGACCUGCAGUGGGUACGGGCAGACUAGAGUGUGGUAGGGGAGACUGGAAUUCCUGGUGUAGCGGUGAAAUGCGCAGAUAUCAGGAGGAACACCGAUGGCGAAGGCAGGUCUCUGGGCCCACUACUGACGCUGAGAAGCGAAAGCGUGGGGAGCGAACAGGAUUAGAUACCCUGGUAGUCCACGCCGUAAACGUUGGGAACUAGGUGUGGGUCUCAUUCCACGAGAUCCGUGCCGCAGCUAACGCAUUAAGUUCCCCGCCUGGGGAGUACGGCCGCAAGGCUAAAACUCAAAGGAAUUGACGGGGGCCCGCACAAGCGGCGGAGCAUGUGGAUUAAUUCGAUGCAACGCGAAGAACCUUACCAAGGCUUGACAUAUACCGGAAACACCCAGAGAUGGGUGCCCCGCAAGGUCGGUAUACAGGUGGUGCAUGGUUGUCGUCAGCUCGUGUCGUGAGAUGUUGGGUUAAGUCCCGCAACGAGCGCAACCCUCGUUCUAUGUUGCCAGCGCGUAAUGGCGGGGACUCAUAGGAGACUGCCGGGGUCAACUCGGAGGAAGGUGGGGAUGACGUCAAAUCAUCAUGCCCCUUAUGUCUUGGGCUUCACACAUGCUACAAUGGCCGGUACAAAGGGCUGCGAAAUCGCGAGAUGGAGCGAAUCCCAAAAAACCGGUCUCAGUUCGGAUUGGGGUCUGCAACUCGACCCCAUGAAGUCGGAGUCGCUAGUAAUCGCAGAUCAGCAACGCUG
RNAcentral lists this ribosomal RNA (1341 nucleotides) under uncultured Nostocoides sp. Its description in RNAcentral is "bacterial SSU rRNA". It matches the Rfam family "Bacterial small subunit ribosomal RNA", at positions 8 to 1359 of the family's 1533-position model. Lineage: Bacteria; Bacillati; Actinomycetota; Actinomycetes; Micrococcales; Intrasporangiaceae. The record is from RNAcentral.